This 73-nucleotide transfer RNA is filed under the name Araneus ventricosus. It matches the Rfam family "tRNA". Rfam says of the family: Transfer RNA (tRNA) molecules are approximately 80 nucleotides in length. The record is from Rfam by way of RNAcentral. Lineage: Eukaryota; Metazoa; Arthropoda; Arachnida; Araneae; Araneidae.
GCCACCAUAGCUCAGAGGUUAGAGCACUGGUCUCGUAAACCAGGGGUCGCGAGUUCGAAUCUCGCUGGUUACU